Molecule: ribosomal RNA, 416 nt
Filed under: uncultured prokaryote
Description: bacterial SSU rRNA
Rfam family: Bacterial small subunit ribosomal RNA
Source: RNAcentral
GUGUCAGCCGCCGCGGUAAUACGGGGGGGGCGAGCGUUGUUCGGAAUUACUGGGCGUAAAGGGCGCGUAGGCGGCUUCGGAAGUCCUGGGUGAAAGCCCCCGGCUCAACCGGGGAAGGUCCCAGGAAACCACGGAGCUGGAGUGCUGGAGAGGGAAGCGGAAUUCCCGGUGGAGCGGUGAAAUGCGUAGAUAUCGGGAGGAACACCGGAGGCGAAGGCGGCUUCCUGGACAGACACUGACGCUGAGGCGCGAAAGCCAGGGGAGCGAACGGGAUUAGAUACCCCGGUAGUCCUGGCCCUAAACGAUGAACACUGGGUGUGGGGGGUAGGCAAUUCCCUCCGUGCCGGAGAUAACUUGUUAAGUGUUCCGCCUGGGGAGUACGGCCGCAAGGCUGAAACUUAAAUGAAUUGACGGGG